Molecule: long non-coding RNA, 93 nt
Organism: Mauremys reevesii (Reeves's turtle)
Lineage: Eukaryota; Metazoa; Chordata; Testudines; Geoemydidae
Exons: 3
Source: RefSeq, a predicted model, not a curated record
GAGACUGAGAAGAAUAAGAACAUGCAACUGGAAUCAGAACUCAAGGUGAAGAUUCAAAAGAUUGAGACUGAAGAGAAGAAGAAAAAGCAGCUG